CCUACGGGGGGCAGCAGUGGGGAAUAUUGGACAAUGGGGGGAACCCUGAUCCAGCCAUGCCGCGUGUGUGAAGAAGGCCCUCGGGUUGUAAAGCACUUUCAGUGAGGAAGAACGCCUGGUGGUUAAUACCCAUCAGGAAAGACAUCACUCACAGAAGAAGCACCGGCUAACUCCGUGCCAGCAGCCGCGGUAAUACGGAGGGUGCGAGCGUUAAUCGGAAUUACUGGGCGUAAAGCGCGCUUAGGUGGCUUGAUAAGCCGGUUGUGAAAGCCCCGGGCUCAACCUGGGAACGGCAUCCGGAACUGUCAAGCUAGAGUGCAGGAGAGGAAGGUAGAAUUCCCGGUGUAGCGGUGAAAUGCGUAGAGAUCGGGAGGAAUACCAGUGGCGAAGGCGGCCUUCUGGACUGACACUGACACUGAGGUGCGAAAGCGUGGGUAGCAAACAGGAUUAGAUACCCUGGUAGUC
Molecule: ribosomal RNA, 465 nt
Filed under: Vreelandella stevensii
Lineage: Bacteria; Pseudomonadati; Pseudomonadota; Gammaproteobacteria; Oceanospirillales; Halomonadaceae
Description: partial 16S ribosomal RNA
Rfam family: Bacterial small subunit ribosomal RNA
Source: RNAcentral